UGGAAACACACCAAGAAAUGCUGCUGGGAUUGAAGAUACUCAUGUCCACCAUCUCCUGGGGACAACAGGAGGAAAGUGGAGCUAGUGACUCAGGCCCCUGAUGCGAUGGAAGUACCAGACGUCUUUCACUGGCCGAGCGUAGUGAGGGAGUGUGGACCUGGAUGAGUGAUACCAGAGUUCAUGACCAUUGGCGAGGGUUGGGACGAGGAUCGACCAGUAAAAUGACAGUCUUCUAGCACAGCCACAACAGUGCGGUACAACGUCUGCAAUACCGCAGAUGCUGCGCUGAUCUGCCGGUGUAUCUCCUGGCCCUUUCAACCCUCACUCAUGAACAAGAC
Molecule: long non-coding RNA, 338 nt
Organism: Cheilinus undulatus (humphead wrasse)
Lineage: Eukaryota; Metazoa; Chordata; Actinopteri; Labriformes; Labridae
Exons: 3
Source: RefSeq, a predicted model, not a curated record